RNAcentral lists this ribosomal RNA (92 nucleotides) under uncultured bacterium. RNAcentral's name for it is "partial 16S ribosomal RNA". It matches the Rfam family "Bacterial small subunit ribosomal RNA", at positions 1391 to 1482 of the family's 1533-position model. The record is from RNAcentral.
CGCCCGUCACACCAUGGGAGUUGAUUGCACCAGAAGCAGGUAGCCUGACCGCAAGGAGGGCGCCUACCACGGUGUGGUCAAUGACUGGGGUG